GAGUUAUUUACUCCCAAACCCUUUGUGAACCUUACCUUUUUGUUGCUCGGCGCACCGCGGGCCGCGGCUCCGGCCCGUCCCGCAGCGCGCCAGAGGACCCAACUCUUCAAUUUAUAGCGUACCUUCUGAUUUACAAAACAAACAAGUUAAAACUUUCAACAACGGAUCUCUUMGGUUCUGGCAUCGAUGAAGAACGCAGCGAAAUGCGAUAAGUAAUGUGAAUUYGCAGAAUUCAGUGAAUCAUCGAAUCUUUGAACGCACAUUGCGCCCGGCAGUAAUCUGCCGGGCAUGCCUGUCCGAGCGUCAUUUCACCCCUCGAGCCGCUUUUAGUGGAUCGGUGUUGGGGCACUACGGUAAAACGUAGGCCCCGAAAUGAAGUGGCGGUCCCGCCGCGGUGCCCCCAUGCGUAGUAACGUCUAGUCUCGCAUCGGGUCCCGGCGGAGGCCUGCCGUCAAGCCUAUUUAUUCUCAGAAUAGUUUGACCUCGGAUCAGGUAGGGUUACCCGCUGAACUUAAGCAUAUC
This 522-nucleotide ribosomal RNA is filed under the name Petriella sp. Its description in RNAcentral is "eukaryotic LSU rRNA". Lineage: Eukaryota; Fungi; Ascomycota; Sordariomycetes; Microascales; Microascaceae. The record is from RNAcentral.